Molecule: ribosomal RNA, 498 nt
Filed under: uncultured bacterium
Lineage: Bacteria
Description: partial 16S ribosomal RNA
Rfam family: Bacterial small subunit ribosomal RNA
Source: RNAcentral
GGAUGAACGCUGGCGGCGUGCCUAAUACAUGCAAGUCGAGCGAACGGACGAGAAGCUUGCUUUUCUGAUGUUAGCGGCGGACGGGUGAGUAACACGUGGAUAACCUACCUAUAAGACUGGGAUAACUUCGGGAAACCGGAGCUAAUACCGGAUAAUAUUUUGAACCGCAUGGUUCAAAAGUGAAAGACGGUCUUGCUGUCACUUAUAGAUGGAUCCGCGCUGCAUUAGCUAGUUGGUAAGGUAACGGCUUACCAAGGCAACGAUGCAUAGCCGACCUGAGAGGGUGAUCGGCCACACUGGAACUGAGACACGGUCCAGACCCCUACGGGAGGCAGCAGUAGGGAAUCUUCCGCAAUGGGCGAAAGCCUGACGGAGCAACGCCGCGUGAGUGAUGAAGGUCUUCGGAUCGUAAAACUCUGUUAUUAGGGAAGAACAUAUGUGUAAGUAACUGUGCACAUCUUGACGGUACCUAAUCAGAAAGCCACGGCUAACUACGUG